Molecule: ribosomal RNA, 460 nt
Filed under: uncultured bacterium
Lineage: Bacteria
Description: partial 16S ribosomal RNA
Rfam family: Bacterial small subunit ribosomal RNA
Source: RNAcentral
CCUACGGGUGGCUGCAGUGAGGAAUAUUGGUCAAUGGACGCUAGCCUGAACCAGCCAAGUAGCGUGAAGGAUGACUGCCCUAUGGGUUGUAAACUUCUUUUAUAUGGGAAUAAAGUGCACUAUGUAUGCUACUUUGCAUGUACCUUAUGAAUAAGGAUCGGCUAACUCCGUGCCAGCAGCCGCGGUAAUACGGAGGAUCCGAGCGUUAUCCGGAUUUAUUGGGUUUAAAGGGAGCGUAGGCGGGUUGUUAAGUCAGUUGUGAAAGUUUGCGGCUCAACCGUAAAAUUGCAGUUGAUACUGGCAGCCUUGAGUACAGUAGAGGUAGGCGGAAUUCGUGGUGUAGCGGUGAAAUGCUUAGAUAUCACGAAGAACUCCGAUUGCGAAGGCAGUUCACUGGACUGUAACUGACGCUGAGGCUCGAAAGUGUGGGUAUCAAACAGGAUUAGAUACCCUGGUAGUC